UUUGUACGUACAAAGGCACGGAGUACAGGGUUGGAGAGACUUGGGACGUAGAAUGCGAACUGAACUGCAAAUGCCUCGAGGAUGACAUCUUCGUGUGCCGAGAAGGAUGUCCACCGUGGCCCGUGCCCCCGGACUGUCACGUGGAGAAGAUCCCAGGCCAGUGUUGUGAUAAAGUGCGCUGUAAUUAAUCCAGUCAACGAAUCAAAUGUGUUAGGUGCGAUUGUGCAGAGCAUCCAGAUGUGUGGAUUGCAACACACCUAUUUGUAUACACAUUAUAUGAAACAUGAGAAACCUAUGAUGGGUAUUUGUAUGCAAUGCUGAUGUGAAAAAGUUGAUGUAGAAUGGCAAAAGCUUUAUUUCAAUGGGCACUACGGAAUUUUGUAACAAACUUGUUUCGUUCAAUAGUAAAUUGCAACCAAUAAAAUAGCAAUGACUCAA
This is a long non-coding RNA of Lingula anatina, 438 nucleotides long. NCBI's taxonomy places the organism in Eukaryota, Metazoa, Brachiopoda, Lingulata, Lingulida, Lingulidae. The record is from RefSeq and is a predicted model, not a curated record.